This 471-nucleotide ribosomal RNA is filed under the name uncultured bacterium. RNAcentral describes it as "bacterial SSU rRNA". It matches the Rfam family "Bacterial small subunit ribosomal RNA", at positions 329 to 793 of the family's 1533-position model. The record is from RNAcentral.
GCAGAGCAUCCUACGGGAGGCAGCAGUGGGGAAUAUUGCACAAUGGGCGCAAGCCUGAUGCAGCCAUGCCGCGUGUAUGAAGAAGGCCUUCGGGUUGUAAAGUACUUUCAGCAGUGAGGAAGGUGGGUAUGUUAAUAGCAUAUUCAUUUGACGUUAGCUGCAGAAGAAGCACCGGCUAACUCCGUGCCAGCAGCCGCGGUAAUACGGAGGGUGCGAGCGUUAAUCGGAAUUACUGGGCGUAAAGCGCAUGCAGGUGGUUUAUUAAGUCAGAUGUGAAAGCCCGGGGCUCAACCUCGGAAUUGCAUUUGAAACUGGCAAACUAGAGUACUGUAGAGGGGGUAGAAUUUCAGGUGUAGCGGUGAAAUGCGUAGAGAUCUGAAGGAAUACCGGUGGCGAAGGCGGCCCCCUGGACAGAUACUGACACUCAGAUGCGAAAGCGUGGGGAGCAAACAGGAUUAGAUACCCUGGUAG